UACGUAGGGUGCAAGCGUUAAUCGGAAUUACUGGGCGUAAAGCGUGCGCAGGCGGUUAUGUAAGACAGGUGUGAAAUCCCCGGGCUUAACCUGGGAACUGCAUUUGUGACUGCAUAGCUAGAGUACGGUAGAGGGGGAUGGAAUUCCGCGUGUAGCAGUGAAAUGCGUAGAUAUCAAGAGGAACACCAGUGGCGAAGGCGAGUCCCUGGACAACACCUGACACUGAGGCACGAAAGCUAGGGGAGCAAACAGG
Molecule: ribosomal RNA, 253 nt
Filed under: uncultured bacterium
Lineage: Bacteria
Description: partial 16S ribosomal RNA
Rfam family: Bacterial small subunit ribosomal RNA
Source: RNAcentral